Oncorhynchus keta (chum salmon) is the source of this 283-nucleotide long non-coding RNA. RefSeq lists it as uncharacterized. Lineage: Eukaryota; Metazoa; Chordata; Actinopteri; Salmoniformes; Salmonidae. The transcript is spliced from 3 exons. The record is from RefSeq and is a predicted model, not a curated record.
UUGUGAUGUCAUAACACUCACAGCGUGGAUGUCCUGGUGGUCUGGGGUUACUGGUACUGCUGCCAAAGGAGGACUGGAUGUUGUGGAUGGUCUACUGCAAAAUCUGCCUCUCUCUCCCCUGCAGCAACAAUUCAGCUGAGCGGCUUCCACUGCACAUGCACCGCCGACCGCUCUGCCUGGAUAGAAUUUCGCCAUUGCACAUCAACUCUGUACUGGUACCACAGCUAUGAAUAAAGGAGGAAGAGUUACGUGGUGGUGGAGUUCGCCCAGAGGUCACUGAAGC